This 253-nucleotide ribosomal RNA is filed under the name uncultured bacterium. RNAcentral's name for it is "partial 16S ribosomal RNA". It matches the Rfam family "Bacterial small subunit ribosomal RNA", at positions 524 to 776 of the family's 1533-position model. The record is from RNAcentral.
GACGGGGGAUGCAAGCGUUAUCCGGAAUGAUUGGGCGUAAAGCGUCCGCAGGUGGCAGUUCAAGUCUGCUGUCAAAGACCGGGGCUCAACCUCGGAAAGGCAGUGGAAACUGAACAGCUAGAGUAUGGUAGGGGCAAAGGGAAUUCCUGGUGUAGCGGUGAAAUGCGUAGAGAUCAGGAAGAACAUCGGUGGCGAAGGCGCUUUGCUGGGCCGUAACUGACGCUGAGGAGCGAAAGCAUGGGGAGCGAACAGG